This 348-nucleotide ribosomal RNA is filed under the name Triticum aestivum (bread wheat). RNAcentral describes it as "partial small subunit ribosomal RNA". Lineage: Eukaryota; Viridiplantae; Streptophyta; Magnoliopsida; Poales; Poaceae. The record is from RNAcentral.
AUGAUGUAUAUUAUCUUAACAAUCCUUCAUUCGCCGGUUCAAACAGUAUACUGCUAUAAAAAACAUUGUCUAUUUCGAUUACUAAGCUUCAUCCUGAUAAUGAUGACAAGGGUCAGUAAUUCAUUUGCUCUUGCGCUCAUUGUUGUAGUCAUCAAUCAGUCUCUCAACAUCCUUCCAGAACAGGCCCUCCACAAGAACACCUUCCUUCGUAAACCUGCCCAAGAAGGCAAGAACACUGUAAGUAAUGGAGAUAAAAAAAGAAUAAUUAUGACACCAACAAAAGACAAACAUUUCACAACUAUGUACACACCCUUAAGCUUGUGUAUUUUGCCAAGUCACGUGCAAUGA